Molecule: ribosomal RNA, 424 nt
Filed under: uncultured prokaryote
Description: bacterial SSU rRNA
Rfam family: Bacterial small subunit ribosomal RNA
Source: RNAcentral
UGGGGAAUCUUCGGCAAUGGGCGAAAGCCUGACCGAGCCAUGCCGCGUGAGUGAUGAAGGCCUUAGGGUUGUAAAGCUCUUUCAGCGGGGAAGAUAAUGACGGUACCCGCAGAAGAAGCCCCGGCUAACUCCGUGCCAGCAGCCGCGGUAAUACGGAGGGGGCUAGCGUUGUUCGGAAUUACUGGGCGUAAAGCGCGCGUAGGCGGACUGAUCAGUCGGGGGUGAAAGCCCGGGGCUCAACCCCGGAACUGCCUUCGAUACUGUCAGUCUCGAGUCCGGAAGAGGUGAGUGGAAUUCCCAGUGGAGAGGUGAAAUUCGUAGAUAUUGGGAAGAACACCAGUGGCGAAGGCGGCUCACUGGUCCGGUACUGACGCUGAGGUGCGAAAGCGUGGGGAGCAAACAGGAUUAGAUACCCCCGUAGUCC